RNAcentral lists this ribosomal RNA (1225 nucleotides) under Escherichia coli. RNAcentral describes it as "bacterial LSU rRNA". It matches the Rfam family "Bacterial large subunit ribosomal RNA", at positions 1729 to 2925 of the family's 2925-position model. Lineage: Bacteria; Pseudomonadati; Pseudomonadota; Gammaproteobacteria; Enterobacterales; Enterobacteriaceae. The record is from RNAcentral.
GAUAUGUAGGUGAAGUCCCUCGCGGAUGGAGCUGAAAUCAGUCGAAGAUACCAGCUGGCUGCAACUGUUUAUUAAAAACACAGCACUGUGCAAACACGAAAGUGGACGUAUACGGUGUGACGCCUGCCCGGUGCCGGAAGGUUAAUUGAUGGGGUUAGCGCAAGCGAAGCUCUUGAUCGAAGCCCCGGUAAACGGCGGCCGUAACUAUAACGGUCCUAAGGUAGCGAAAUUCCUUGUCGGGUAAGUUCCGACCUGCACGAAUGGCGUAAUGAUGGCCAGGCUGUCUCCACCCGAGACUCAGUGAAAUUGAACUCGCUGUGAAGAUGCAGUGUACCCGCGGCAAGACGGAAAGACCCCGUGAACCUUUACUAUAGCUUGACACUGAACAUUGAGCCUUGAUGUGUAGGAUAGGUGGGAGGCUUUGAAGUGUGGACGCCAGUCUGCAUGGAGCCGACCUUGAAAUACCACCCUUUAAUGUUUGAUGUUCUAACGUUGACCCGUAAUCCGGGUUGCGGACAGUGUCUGGUGGGUAGUUUGACUGGGGCGGUCUCCUCCUAAAGAGUAACGGAGGAGCACGAAGGUUGGCUAAUCCUGGUCGGACAUCAGGAGGUUAGUGCAAUGGCAUAAGCCAGCUUGACUGCGAGCGUGACGGCGCGAGCAGGUGCGAAAGCAGGUCAUAGUGAUCCGGUGGUUCUGAAUGGAAGGGCCAUCGCUCAACGGAUAAAAGGUACUCCGGGGAUAACAGGCUGAUACCGCCCAAGAGUUCAUAUCGACGGCGGUGUUUGGCACCUCGAUGUCGGCUCAUCACAUCCUGGGGCUGAAGUAGGUCCCAAGGGUAUGGCUGUUCGCCAUUUAAAGUGGUACGCGAGCUGGGUUUAGAACGUCGUGAGACAGUUCGGUCCCUAUCUGCCGUGGGCGCUGGAGAAUUGAGGGGGGCUGCUCCUAGUACGAGAGGACCGGAGUGGACGCAUCACUGGUGUUCGGGUUGUCAUGCCAAUGGCACUGCCCGGUAGCUAAAUGCGGAAGAGAUAAGUGCUGAAAGCAUCUAAGCACGAAACUUGCCCCGAGAUGAGUUCUCCCUGACNAACUUGCCCCGAGAUGAGUUCUCCCUGACUCCUUGAGAGUCCUGAAGGAACGUUGAAGACGACGACGUUGAUAGGCCGGGUGUGUAAGCGCAGCGAUGCGUUGAGCUAACCGGUACUAAUGAACCGUGAGGCUUAACCUU